GAUGAAGAACGUAGCAAAAUGCGAUACUUGGUGUGAAUUGCAGAAUCCCGUGAACCAUCGAGUUUUUGAACGCAAGUUGCGCCCGAAGCCUUUUGGCCGAGGGCACGUCUGCCUGGGCGUCACGCAUCGCGUCGCCCCCCACAAUUCUCCGUAAAGGGAACAUGUGUUUUGGGGGCGGAUAUUGGUCUCCCGUGCUCAUGGCGUGGUUGGCCGAAAUAGGAGUCCUUUCGAUGGACGCACGAACUAGUGGUGGUCGUAAAAACCCUCGUCUUUUGUUUCGUGCUGUUGCUCGCAAGGUAAACUCUUUAAAAACCCCAAUGUGUCGUCUCUUGACGACGCUUCGACCGCGACCCCAGGUCAGUCGGGACUACCCGCUGAGUUUAAGCAUAUCAAUAAGCGGAGGA
This 404-nucleotide unclassified non-coding RNA is filed under the name soil metagenome. RNAcentral describes it as "partial contains 5.8S ribosomal RNA, internal transcribed spacer 2, and large subunit ribosomal RNA". The stretch from base 1 to 122 matches the Rfam family "5.8S ribosomal RNA", at positions 35 to 154 of the family's 154-position model. The record is from RNAcentral.